RNAcentral lists this unclassified non-coding RNA (348 nucleotides) under soil metagenome. Its description in RNAcentral is "partial contains 5.8S ribosomal RNA, internal transcribed spacer 2, and large subunit ribosomal RNA". The stretch from base 1 to 120 matches the Rfam family "5.8S ribosomal RNA", at positions 35 to 154 of the family's 154-position model. The record is from RNAcentral.
GAUGAAGAACGUAGCGAAACGCGAUAGGUAAUGUGAAUUGCAGAAUUCCGUGAAUCAUCGAAUCUUUGAACGCACAUUGCGCCCGCCAGUAUUCUGGCGGGCAUGCCUGUCUGAGCGUCAUUUCAACCCUCAUGCCCCUAGGGCGUGGUGUUGGGGAUCGGCCAAAGCCCGCGAGGGACGGCCGGCCCCUAAAUCUAGUGGCGGACCCGUCGUGGCCUCCUCUGCGAAGUAGUGAUAUUCCGCAUCGGAGAGCGACGAGCCCCUGCCGUUAAACCCCCAACUUUCCAAGGUUGACCUCAGAUCAGGUAGGAAUACCCGCUGAACUUAAGCAUAUCAAUAAGCGGAGGA